Molecule: ribosomal RNA, 468 nt
Filed under: uncultured bacterium
Lineage: Bacteria
Description: partial 16S ribosomal RNA
Rfam family: Bacterial small subunit ribosomal RNA
Source: RNAcentral
GACGAACGCUGGCGGCGUGCUUAACACAUGCAAGUCGAACGGAAAGGCCCUGCUUUUGUGGGGUGCUCGAGUGGCGAACGGGUGAGUAACACGUGAGUAACCUGCCCUUGACUUUGGGAUAACUUCAGGAAACUGGGGCUAAUACCGGAUAGGAGCUCCUGCUGCAUGGUGGGGGUUGGAAAGUUUCGGCGGUUGGGGAUGGACUCGCGGCUUAUCAGCUUGUUGGUGGGGUAGUGGCUUACCAAGGCUUUGACGGGUAGCCGGCCUGAGAGGGUGACCGGCCACAUUGGGACUUCGGUACGGCCCAGUCUCCUACGGGAGGCAGCAGUGGGGAAUAUUGCACAAUGGGCGGGAGCCUGAUGCAGCAACGCCGCGUGCGGGAUGACGGCCUUCGGGUUGUAAACCGCUUUCGCCUGUGACGAAGCGUGAGUGACGGUAAUGGGUAAAGAAGCACCGGCUAACUACGUG